RNAcentral lists this long non-coding RNA (1003 nucleotides) under Nicotiana benthamiana. RNAcentral describes it as "long non-coding RNA (NBEN_LNC011938)". The record is from RNAcentral. Lineage: Eukaryota; Viridiplantae; Streptophyta; Magnoliopsida; Solanales; Solanaceae.
AAAAUCGUAGCAAGAAGAAUAUACACCAAACCAAACCCACCCCAAACCAAAUCCCUCCUCACAGCUCACCAGCCUGUUCUUCCUCCUUUUUGCUCUCGCACUCUCACAGAGUGAAACCACAAACCAAACAGUUGGUGGGCAAUAGACUGAGUGAAAAUGCGUCUUCUUCUACUCCUUUUUCUUGUUCUUCUUAUGCAUUUCACUCACUUUACCGCCGGUAGACAACCCCGUAUACCUGAAUACCAGGCUUUGCUUGCUCUGAAAACUGCCAUUACCGACGACCCAAAGUUAGCUCUUGCCUCGUGGAACAUCUCUACUAGUCACUGCACGUGGAACGGUGUCACGUGCGAUAGAUAUCGGCAUGUGACCUCUCUUGACAUUUCAGACUUCAAUGUUACCGGCACUCUUCCGCCGGAAGUUGGAAAUCUUCGUUUCUUACAAAAUCUCUCCGUUGCCCUUAACCAAUUUUCCGGCCCCAUUCCCGUUGAAAUCUCGUUUAUUCCGAAUCUUCAUUACCUUAAUCUCUCCAAUAACAUCUUCAGCUUAGGAUUCCCUCCUCAGUUAACCCGUCUCCGUAACCUUAAAGUCCUCGACCUUUACAACAACAACAUGACCGGUGACCUUCCCGUUGACGUGUAUCAGAUGACUAACUUAAGACACCUCCACCUCGGCGGGAACUUUUUCGGCGGCCGCAUUCCGCCGGAGUAUGGAAGAUUCCAGUUCCUAGAGUACCUCGCAGUUUCCGGCAACGAGCUCGUCGGAGAAAUACCACCAGAGAUAGGAAACAUCACCACGCUUCACGAGUUGUACGUAGGGUACUACAACACCUUAUAUCUCGCAGUUUCCGGAAACGAGCUCGUCGGAGAGAUACCACCGGAGAUUGGAAACGUCACCACACUUCACGAGUUGUACGUAGGAUACUACAACACCUUCUCCGGCGGAAUCCCGCCGGAAAUAGGGAACUUAUCACAGCUCGUAAGGUUUGAUGCUGCAAACUGUGGAC